Molecule: long non-coding RNA, 37303 nt
Filed under: Ananas comosus (pineapple)
Lineage: Eukaryota; Viridiplantae; Streptophyta; Magnoliopsida; Poales; Bromeliaceae
Description: long non-coding RNA (ACOM_LNC042962)
Source: RNAcentral
UUAAUAUGAAUUUAACUUAAUAUGAUUAUGAAGGUUAAUACCGUUUACACGACAUUACAGAAAUUUCUCUUCUCAAAAUAAAGAUUCUUAAUCAUCUCCUUUCUCAAAAAAAAUUUGAAUCCCCAAAUACCUUUCCUCAAAAUGAUUUUUAAUCAAACAAAAUUUAAAACACCAAAAAUCAUGUAAACAUGUAAUGCAAUGAAUAAAAUUAAGCAACAAGCACCUAUCAAAGCAUUACACUAAAGAUCAAAAUGACUAAGACGAGGAGCAAGGAAAGAUAUCACCUUCCGGAUCCAAACUUGUCGGAUCAUUGGUUUUCUCGGCUUGUCGACGUUAGGUGCCGUUUGUUUAGACUUUCGAUCAACCGUUGGAGGUUUCUUCGGUUGAGGCUUUGGUUGAACUUGUCGUUUAAGCUUAGAAUUCCGGUUUGCUUUAAAAUUCGGUUGGAUUUGGCGUUGCACAAUAGAAUACCGAUUCUCUUGAAGUGAUCUACUCAAAUGAUUUAACUUUUGAUUCCGUGGGGGAUGUCGAGUUGUAGACGAUGUCGAUUGAGGUUUUGAGAGUGUCGAUCGAUGUGUAGACAAUGCCAAUUGUUUCUUCUUUUCCUUAUUUGGGCAAUUCCUUUUAAUAUGUCUGUUGAUGCCACAUUUAUGACAUACUUUGCCUUUCGAAGUUGUUGAGGCAUUAGAAGACGCGGUUGAUGCCUUCUCAACAUAUGUGCGUUCAUAACCGAGUCCAAGCUUGUUCGUUUGACCCAAUCCAAGCAUAUGGUCCAAUUUCUUUGAUCCGGAAGAAAAUCGUUGAAGAUCGGAUUGGAGUUGACGAACUUGAUCGGUCAAGACUUGAUUGGACUUGUGCGAUUCAUGAAAUUGAUGCUCCAAAAAUUCAAUCUUGUCAUUAGAAGAUUUGAUCGUAGAUUCCGCAUCAUUAAGCUUCUGUUGGAGGUCCGAAUUAAUCUUCAAACUUGAAUCUCUUUCCUCCUCAAGUGACUUAUUCAAACUCUUUACGUUGUUGUUUUCUUCUUCAAGAUUCAACAUACGACGCCUCAACUUCUUAUUUAACUUAGCCAUCUUCUUUGAUUCAAUAAGAAGUAGGUUGUAAGCUUCCGCUAUAUCCUCGUCGUUCGAAUCCUCCCCGCUUUCCCCGUUGUCACUCGAUGAAUCAUGCGAGAAAAAAGAAACAUUAGAAUUAGUAGCGAUAGAGGAUAAACACACAACAUUUGACGAAGGUGUAUUAGCAAACAAGGCAAUUUGAUCAUUCUUCUCUUCGUCACUUGACGAUGAAUCACUUGAUGUUGAAUCAUCCCACGUCUUUGCUUGCAUAGCCUUUUGUCUAUACGUCUUCUUCGAAGGACAAUCCGUCGCAAUGUGGCCAAAACCUUUGCAUUUGUAGCAUUGGAUCUCUCCUUCAAAUUCAUCCUUUUCCUUUGAAGACUUUGCACGGUUUUUAUCCUUAGACUUUGAAGAUGAAGAUGAUUUAGGCAAAGAUUGUCGCUUAGAUGUUGAAGCCUUGUUUAAUCUAUUCUUGUUCCGGAAAUUUCGACGAAACUUCUUCGUGAGGAGUGCUAAUUGAUGUUCAAAAUCCGCAAUUGAUAACUCGUCGUCGGAACUCGAGUCUUCGUCCUUCUCCUUUGUAGAUUUCAAUGCAACCCCUGUGCUUUUAUAGAAAGACUUGGAAGAAGAUUGAUUAGUAGGAAAAGUCAUCUCAUACGUUUGCAAAGCUCCUACUAAUUCUUCUACUUUCAUCUCGUCCGGAUGUUUGACCGUUUCGAUCGCGGCUACUUUAGCCCGAAAGCGUUCCGGAAGAGUUCAAAGAAUCUUUCGCACAACUUUAGCAUCCGGGAUUUUUUCUUUAAACCCUAUGAGAUGUUCAAUGCGUACUUCCUUGUUCGAAUCAUUUCCAGGUUUUUAACGUUUACGAUUGAUCGUUCAAACUAAGUUAAAAAUACCUGCUUUUGCUCUGGAAAUGGCUCAUGAUAUGCGCAGAUGUUCUGCACCAGUUAUGUACGCGAUUGAACCCCCUCUNNNNNNNNNNNNNNNNNNNNNNNNNNNNNNNNNNNNNNNNNNNNNNNNNNNNNNNNNNNNNNNNNNNNNNNNNNNNNNNNNNNNNNNNNNNNNNNNNNNNNNNNNNNNNNNNNNNNNNNNNNNNNNNNNNNNNNNNNNNNNNNNNNNNNNNNNNNNNNNNNNNNNNNNNNNNNNNNNNNNNNNNNNNNNNNNNNNNNNNNNNNNNNNNNNNNNNNNNNNNNNNNNNNNNNNNNNNNNNNNNNNNNNNNNNNNNNNNNNNNNNNNNNNNNNNNNNNNNNNNNNNNNNNNNNNNNNNNNNNNNNNNNNNNNNNNNNNNNNNNNNNNNNNNNNNNNNNNNNNNNNNNNNNNNNNNNNNNNNNNNNNNNNNNNNNNNNNNNNNNNNNNNNNNNNNNNNNNNNNNNNNNNNNNNNNNNNNNNNNNNNNNNNNNNNNNNNNNNNNNNNNNNNNNNNNNNNNNNNNNNNNNNNNNNNNNNNNNNNNNNNNNNNUUGAGCUUUGUUACGUUUUAGGGUUUUUAACGUAACACAUGGCCAUGUCGUUAGUUCGGGCAUGGCCAUGUCGGUGACUGAACCGAAGCAUAAAGACAAGGCAGGAACACAUUGGCCACUGUCGAAAAGCACAUGGCCAUGUGUCACAUUUUAGCACUUUAGAAAGAUUAGGCUGAGGUUAACUAAGAUUUCAGAUAUUUAUUCGAUAACCCGAAGAGAUUGUCUAGUUCGUAGUAUUCUUAUGUACAAACUCUUUGGGAUCUCCGGACCUAAAGUAGAUUUUGGAUAAAAGAUGUAUAAUCGGAGAAAAUCCAGUUUAGCCUUAUAAUAUUAAACUAUAGAUAUACGGCUAAACUAGAGGCGAAACGAACCUCAAAGAAAAGGACCAAAAGAUGCUAUGAGGAUUCGCUUCCUAGUGGUAUUAGUACUACGAGAAGUACUGCCGCAGCACCUAAGCCGCACAAACUGUCCCCAAGCACCAAAGCCUAGCACCCGAGCACCUAAGCUCACCGCAGCACCUAAGCCGCACUAACUUCGAAGCACCUAAGCUUCACCUCCGCAAGCACCUGAGCUUGCACUCCCGCACCUGUACACUUCCGAAGCACUUUCUAAUCAACUAAACUUUUGAUUAAAUGAUUCUAAUGCCUAUAACUAAGUAUGAAUCACCAUAACAUGAAUUAAAACUUUACCUGACCAUCGUGAUUCACGUCGUGAGGUAUUUUCUGAUUUUUUCCAAAAUCUUGAAUUCUUUGAUCUUUGUCAAUUCGCUUCGAUUCUUCAAGACUCUGACUCACUUCACGAAACUUGCCAAUACAAAAUCCUUAACAAAAAGCCCCAAUUUGGGUGCCCUAACUCAUAGCAUAUAUCAAACCUAGGGUUUGAUCUCAUUAGGAAGCAAAAGAAGCUUCAAUCUACUCUAGAGACUCCAUUAAAACCAUUCUUAGCUCAAUCCAAACUCUAGUUUGGAUUCUACCAUGAGAGGGGUGAAGCUCACCUCUAAGCUUCAUCACAUAUAUCCAAACCAUGGUUUUGAUCUCUUAAAGAAGCAAAAGAAAGCUUCAAAUACUCAAAAGGUUCUACUAAAACCAUUUCUAGGUCAUUUGGUUCUCAUUCUAGGGUUUUACCAUAAAUAGGGUUCAAGCUUACCUCUAAGCUUGCUCCUAUGUUGCUCCAAAGAGGAAGAAGAGGAAGUAGCUCUACUCCUUAGCUUCUCCUUCACCUUCUACUCCUUCUCCUUCUUCUUCUUUUCCCUUUCUUUCCUUUCUUUUCUUCUUCUCCUUCUUGUCUUCCAGAGAGAGAAAGAGAGGAGAGAGUGUGUGAGAGGGAGAGAAUGGGAGAAAACACCUCAUAACCCCCUCAACAUAACCCAUUUGUUAUAUAAUUGCAAAUAAACUCCUCAGCUUUUAUCUUAUUAAACUGCUCAAACUGGGCAGAAUUUGUGUUCGGGGAUCGGUCUCCCCGACUUGGGACCGGUCCCAGAGAGCUCUCCCCGAAGCUGGCAGAGCUCCAGCCUGAUGCAACCGGUCUCUCUCUGGGUGACCGGUCUCUUGGGGAUCGGUCUCUCUCGCAGGGACUGGUUCCCGAGAGCUGGUUUUCUGGGACUUAGCCGAUUUUCAGCUUUCUCAAUUUUCACUCGUUCGGGGACCGGUCUCUCCCACCAGGGACCGGUCCCCGAGAGCACAAAAUCUGCAGAAUGCAGAUUUUUGAUUAUUUUGCUCUCGAACACCUCCCACAAUGCACUUUUGAUCAUUUUAACACCUUCGGACUUUUUGAAGUGUACCAUCCUCGCACUUUGGUCAAUUUGACUAAAGUUUGAUAUUUAUUUUUUAAAUUUUCGGUAUAUUACAAUGGCACUUUUGUUAACUUUGUCCAAACAUGAGUUUAGUGAUCAAGAAUACAUAAUUUGAGUCAUUUUCAUCAUAUGAGAUAUAUUUCCAACUUGCAAUAUAGAAUACUUUUCACAUGCAUGCCUAAUACACAUAUGGCUUUACUACAUAGAGUUAAAUUUUCACGAUACAUAACACAUGCAUUUUAAGUAUUUUAAAAUUCAUAAAAAUUCUAUCUAGCAUGAAUAUGCAUGCAUCUCGAUUAAAUGACAAGGAUAAAACACAUAGGGGAUAUUUCUCCCCUAUUUUAUGAAGUCAAACCCACCGAAACUCUUGGCCGCCCUUUGUUUGUGCUGAUGAAGGUGCCCGCUACUCUCUUAGCACCCUAAAGGUAAAGAAAAGAGAGAUACACGAACAUUACGAACAAUCCUAAGUUCGAUCAUUAAACAACUCAAGCAAAAGGGCAAAAACUCACCGAAUGCGAAGGAAACUCUCUCGAUCUCCAAAUGGGAGUUAGAGUCCUUCCAAACCAACCUAAAUAAAGAUUCUAAGCCCAUCAAUUUGGUUCCAAAAUCCUUAAAUCAAAAAUUCCCAUUUCUAACCCUAAAUCUCCAAUUCUAGGGUUACAACAUCAAAAUCCUCCAAAACAUGAUCCAGAGGAGAGAUUUUGGAUAGUAACCUCACAAGAUGCUCCAAACCAAGCUUGGAAUGCCCCAAGGUUGAAGAUCCUUCCUCUACCAAGCUCUAACAAAAGCAUUAAAGCUUCUCCAAUUGUGGAAUCCCAACCAAGAGCAAAGAGAAGCAAUGAGAGGAGAUCAAAACUAGCUAAAACCAAGCAAAAUGGAGCAAAAAUCAAAGAAGAAAGCUGUAACACACUGGACCUUUGCGAAUUGCGAGGUUCGAGUGAUUGGCCGUGUUCUGAGCUUUUCCAGAUUUUCUGGUGCCCGUAAUGCUAGUAGAUAUUCUAGUUUGUAAUUGUUAAUAUCGUGUUCCCGAUUUUGAGUGGAUUACUCACCUUUUAGAGAGGGUUCGAGGUUUAUUCUCGAUUUAGGGAAGGUUAGGUUAGAUCCCUUUCCAAGAUUAGGUUUUCUAAAUCGGGGUUUUCGGGAUCUUAGUUUUACGGGUUUUAUUCGGGAUUAAGAGGUUAGAUCCCAAAGUAGAACUUAGGUAGUUGUUUUUAGUUUAGAUCUCUCUCUCUCGUUCAUCUAAUGGAGAAUCUUCGAGGUUAGGUUCGAGAUUUGAGAGGUUCAGGUUCCUAGAGGGGAGUUGUUUCGAGGUUUUGUUUCGGGGUUUCCACCUUUUCGGAGGUUAGUUCGUUUUCUUCGUUUUCUCUCCAAAUUAGAGAAUUUUAGGAUGGUUUUAGGUUUAUCUAGUUUUCUUUUAGUUACUCCCGAGGGAAUGGAGAGGAGAACGACCAGGGUUCGAGUCCUCUUCUGGGGAUCCCGCACCCCCCAUGAUUAUUCUUCAGGUGUUAGCGUUUUUCGGGGGAUGUUAAGUUUGACGUGCUUUAGUCGGGGGAACAUGGCCAUGUGCCCGAGAACAUGGCCAUGUUCCAGGUGCUUUAGGUUUGGGCUCCGAGCCCAACGACCCGAGACGCCGAGACAUGGCCAUGUUCGAGGCUACCGACAUGGCCAUGUUGGUAGUUGGAACAUGGCCAUGUUCGUGUUGGAACAUGGCCAUGUCCGGAUGGUCUUGAGUUAGGCUCUCAGUCGGUUUAGGGCAAAAAAACCUAAAACCACAUUCCGAAACAUGGUGUUUAGAACCCUGUGCACGGUAUCCAGCCUUGUGUCAGUUGCUGGGNNNNNNNNNNNNNNNNNNNNNNNNNNNNNNNNNNNNNNNNNNNNNNNNNNNNNNNNNNNNNNNNNNNNNNNNNNNNNNNNNNNNNNNNNNNNNNNNNNNNNNNNNNNNNNNNNNNNNNNNNNNNNNNNNNNNNNNNNNNNNNNNNNNNNNNNNNNNNNNNNNNNNNNNNNNNNNNNNNNNNNNNNNNNNNNNNNNNNNNNNNNNNNNNNNNNNNNNNNNNNNNNNNNNNNNNNNNNNNNNNNNNNNNNNNNNNNNNNNNNNNNNNNNNNNNNNNNNNNNNNNNNNNNNNNNNNNNNNNNNNNNNNNNNNNNNNNNNNNNNNNNNNNNNNNNNNNNNNNNNNNNNNNNNNNNNNNNNNNNNNNNNNNNNNNNNNNNNNNNNNNNNNNNNNNNNNNNNNNNNNNNNNNNNNNNNNNNNNNNNNNNNNNNNNNNNNNNNNNNNNNNNNNNNNNNNNNNNNNNNNNNNNNNNNNNNNNNNNNNNNNNNNNNNNNNNNNNNNNNNNNNNNNNNNNNNNNNNNNNNNNNNNNNNNNNNNNNNNNNNNNNNNNNNNNNNNNNNNNNNNNNNNNNNNNNNNNNNNNNNNNNNNNNNNNNNNNNNNNNNNNNNNNNNNNNNNNNNNNNNNNNNNNNNNNNNNNNNNNNNNNNNNNNNNNNNNNNNNNNNNNNNNNNNNNNNNNNNNNNNNNNNNNNNNNNNNNNNNNNNNNNNNNNNNNNNNNNNNNNNNNNNNNNNNNNNNNNNNNNNNNNNNNNNNNNNNNNNNNNNNNNNNNNNNNNNNNNNNNNNNNNNNNNNNNNNNNNNNNNNNNNNNNNNNNNNNNNNNNNNNNNNNNNNNNNNNNNNNNNNNNNNNNNNNNNNNNNNNNNNNNNNNNNNNNNNNNNNNNNNNNNNNNNNNNNNNNNNNNNNNNNNNNNNNNNNNNNNNNNNNNNNNNNNNNNNNNNNNNNNNNNNNNNNNNNNNNNNNNNNNNNNNNNNNNNNNNNNNNNNNNNNNNNNNNNNNNNNNNNNNNNNNNNNNNNNNNNNNNNNNNNNNNNNNNNNNNNNNNNNNNNNNNNNNNNNNNNNNNNNNNNNNNNNNNNNNNNNNNNNNNNNNNNNNNNNNNNNNNNNNNNNNNNNNNNNNNNNNNNNNNNNNNNNNNNNNNNNNNNNNNNNNNNNNNNNNNNNNNNNNNNNNNNNNNNNNNNNNNNNNNNNNNNNNNNNNNNNNNNNNNNNNNNNNNNNNNNNNNNNNNNNCGCGGGAAGGGAGUUGCUUCGAGCUAGCUUCCUUCGAGGACGAGUUGCUAGGUGGUCUACCUCUCGAUAUUUACUUUUUGGCGAGAGGUUGAGGGUUUUGCCAGUGUAUAGAGACCACCAUUUUUGUACUAGAGACAGAUAUUGUACUACUUAUGUUUUCUUUUUUUUUGACUAGCUUUAUUUCUUUACUUUGGUGUAGAUGAUAGAACAUUACUUGCUCUGAUAUCAUUAGUUGCUAGUUACUUCACUUCUUUUAUUUGUUCUAUCUCCUGCUUUACUUCCGCUUUUAUUGUAGACGCCUUAUAUGUGUAGACAUAUGGCGGGUCUGGGCACGCUACCGGGAGGGCCUUCGCCGGUCCCGGGGCGUGACAGAUUAAUUUGGUAUCAGAGCCUAGGGUUGAGUCUUAGUGGACCUAGCGAACCUUAGGCCGGUUGGACUAUAGGAAUUAGGCUCGUGAGAGACGAGGUCUAAUUGACUUGUGAGCGAAAGUAUUAUGAUUGGGUUUAUGACAACUCUAAAAAGUUAGAGUUUGAUCGGAGUGUAUGGCUUCUAACUUCGCGGAGGGUUACGUUGGUGGCCGACAACGUAACAUCGGGAGUUAGUAGUGAAGGACACUUCCUUACUUUAGCAUGAUUUGGGGUUUUAUCUAUUUUGAGCGGGGAUGCGAUAGCGUGGGUUACUAACUUGCGCUUUUAUGUUUUGUAGUGACGAUGCCGAUCACACGCUCCUAGUCUGCCGGGGCGGAUGAUGCGGCACACCCCGAGGAGGUCGAGACCUCCGCUACUUCCGGAUCUAGUGAGGUCCGCGACUUGAGGGCCCAGCUUGCUGUUCUCACUGAUCUGUUGGCGCAGCAGACGACAGCGGCGCAGCGUCAGGCUGAGGUGGCUCAGCGGCAGGAGGCGCGGAUGAAGCAUCUUGAGGACCUCCUACUGCAGCAGGCGGCAGCUUCGAGGGAGACCCAGGGUCCCACACCGCCAGCACCCGUGGUGGACGUCGCACUGAGGGCGCAGUCCCCCGCGCCCAGCUCUUCACGUGCGGCACCGGCGACCGCACCUCGGGAGUAGGUGGUUACGGCAUUACCAGUUUAGAGGUCGGCGACAGGGGCAGCAUUCCCCGUGAUGGCCGAGGGAGCCGAGCGGGAUCGGCUUAUGAAUCGCCUCAGCGAGUUCAGGAGGUGCAGCCCGAGGACGUUCGAUGGCGAGAACGUCGACCACUGGAUUGUUGAAAAGUGGUUGAUGCAUAUGGAGAAGCUGUUUCGAGACACCUUUGUGGAGGAGCGGGACAGAGUUUGGCUCGCCACUCACUUUCUGGACGGCGAGGCCUAUCGUUGGUGGUUGGACAUCCAGAACAACCCCAACACCGACUUGGCAGCGAUUACUUGGACGAGGUUCAAGGAGCUUCUUCUGGCGCACCACUUCCCGACCAGCGUUAAGAGGAAGAUGGAGCAGGAUUUGCGCAGCUUGCGCAAGGACGAGCGGUCAGUGGCUGAGUACGAGAGGGAGUUCUCCCGGAUAUUACACUGUGUACCGUUUGUUGUGAGGGACGACGAGGACAAGGCCAACAUCUUUGAGCGCGGUUUGCGGCCUUCUAUCUUUCGGUUGGUGCAGUCUUCCAACCUCCAGACCUACCGGGAGGUUGUGGAUCGAGCUUUGAUUGUGGAGGCAGGAGCGGCAGAUCUGCAGGAGCGUCGCGAGAGCUCGGAGAAGGGGAAAGGGAAGAGGCCCGCGGCUGAGGGUGCGAGCCAGACGCACUCACGGAGGACGCGAGGCACCCAGGAGCCGGAGCUAGUCGCGGGGACGUGGCUCAUCUACUCAGCGAGGAGGACCCGAUCGUCGCCAAGCCCCCCGCUGCGUGAUCUGUGGCGGUUCUCAUUACCCGCAGCAGUGUUCACGCAGCCGGGGCAGGUGCUUCUUGUGUGGCCAGGAGGGCCACUUCCAGUCUGACUGCCCGAGGAGUCCAUUGCCAGCGCCAUCUUCGGCAUCUGCACCAGCUUCGCCAGGUCCCAGUCAGGGGACAUCUUCUGUGCAUCACCAGGUCGGUCGGCCACCUGUCCAGCGGCAGACGGAGGGGUCACGACAGGCCCCGAGCCGGCGCAUGUACGCGGCACAGACUAAGGAGGCGGCGGCAGCCGAGAAUGUGGUCGCAGGUAUCAUUUUACUUCAUGGUACUCGAGUUAGAGCUUUGUUUGAUACCAGUGCAUCGCAUUCAUUCAUUGAUCGGCUGUUUGCCGAGCUGCAUGGCAUCCCACUUGUAUCCUUGUUGCACCCGGGACGAGUCGUUGUACCCGACCAUUCUUUGGACAUUCGGGAGUUUUGCCCCAGCUGCCCUAUUCGGGUUGGAGAUUGGAUCAUGCCCAUAGACUUGCUAGCCUUGCAUAAACUCGGGGAGUUUGACGUUGUGUUGGACAUGGAUUGGUUGACUAAGUACUACGCCACUAUCGAUUGCAAAGAUCGAACGGUGAUUUUUAGAGAGCCAGGGCAGGCGGAGGUUGUGUACCAAGGAUGCCAGAGUUCGCUGUUUGCGAUGACGAUUAGCUCCUCUCGAGCUAGGCAGUUGAUUAGUAGAGGCUGCGUAGCCUACUUGGCUAAUGUUGUGUUGCGGGGUGUGGAUGACGCCCCUAGGAUUGAGGAUAUCCCCGUAGUGCGGGAGUUUGGAGAUGUGUUUCGAGCGGAGCUUCCAGGCAUGCCCCCUGGUAGGGAGAUUGAGUUUGUGGUAGAUCUCGUCCCCGGGACUGCCCCGAUCUCUAAGGCACCCUAUAGGAUGGCACCAGCAGAAUUGAAGGAACUGAAGGCACAGUUGCAGGAUCUUCUGGAUAAGGGUUUUAUGCGACCGAGUGUGUCACCUUGGGGAGCACCGAUUUUGUUUGUGAAGAAGAAGGAUGGAUUACUUCGCUUAUGCGUGGACUAUCGUGAACUCAAUAAAGUCACGAUUAAGAACAAGUAUCCAUUGCCGAGGAUUGAUGAUCUAUUUGAUCAACUCCAGGGAUCUUGUGUAUAUUCCAAGAUUGACUUGCAGUUGGGAUAUCACCAGUUGAGGAUCAGACCUGAGGAUGUAUCGAAGACGGCUUUUAGAACACGGUAUGGACAUUACGAGUUUACCGUUAUGCCGUUUGGGCUUACUAAUGCCCCCGCAGCUUUUAUGGAUCUGAUGAACCGUGUUUUCAAGCCUUAUUUAGACAGGUUCGUUAAUUGUGGUGUUUAUCGACGACAUCUUAGUGUAUUCCCGGAGUGACGCGGAUCACGAGGAACACUUGAGACUUGUACUUCAAGUGGUUCGGGAAAGGGAGCUCUACGCCAAGUUGAAAAAGUGUGAAUUUUGGCUUAGAGAGGUGGCAUUUUUGGGCCAUGUGAUUUCAGGAUCAGGCAUAGCCGUGGACCCGAGAAAAAUUGAAACUAUCAAGGAUUGGCCAAGGCCGACGAGUGUCACGGAGAUUCGGAGCUUCCUUGAUUUGGCCGGCUACUAUCGACGAUUUGUUGAGGGAUUUGCGAGGUUAUAUACUCCCCUCACGAGGCUCACGCAUAAGGGCACCAAGUUUGUUUGGAAUGAUGCUUGUGAAAGGAGCUUCCAAGAGUUGAAGCAGCGAUUGACGACUGCCCCGAUCCUUACCUUGCCGACUGCUGAAGCAGGGUAUGUGAUUUAUAGUCAUACUUUCUUUAAUGGAUUGGGCUGUGUUUUGAUGCAGGACGGAAAAGUGAUCGCGUAUGCAUCUCGCCAAUUGAAGGAUUAUGAAAAGAAUUACCCCACUCACGACUUGGAGUUGGCGGCCGUAGUCUUUGCAUUGAAGCUAUGGCGCGAUUACCUCUAUGGCGAGCGAUGCGAAAUAUAUACGGAUCACAAAAGCUUAAAGUAUCUAUUCACUCUGAAGGAGUUGAACUUGAGGCAGCGCAGAUGGUUGGAGGUACUCAAGGAUUAUGAUUUGACGAUACUUUACCACCCGGGCAAGGCUAACUUGGUGGCGGAUGCGCUAAGUAGGAAAUCGACUAAGAACUUAGCGAUGCUUGUGGUUACUCAACCGCCGUUGAUCGAGCAGAUGAAGCGGUUGGAGUUGGAGGUGGUGGCUCCUGAUACACCUUUGAGACUGAUGGCUUUGGUGGUGCAACCUACACUUUUGGAAAGGAUUAAAGAAAAGCAAGCUUCCGACUCGGAGUUGCAAAAGAUUCGAGCUAAGAUGGUUGAUGGUUGCACCGGUGACUUCACUUUAGACGGUGAUGGAUUGAUGCGUUUCCACGGACGACAUUGUGUACCGGCGGACUUGGGCAUUAAAGAGGAUAUUCUUCAAGAAGCACAUCGAGCACCGUAUGCUUUGCAUCCGGGAGGCACCAAGAUGUACAAGGACUUAAAGUCGCUUUAUUGGUGGACCGGGAUGAAAAAGGAUGUUGGUGAGUUCGUUGCUAGAUGUUUAACUUGGCAACAGGUGAAGGCUGAGCACCGAGUUCCUGCAGGGAAGCUGCAGAGCCUACCGAUUCCAGUGUGGAAGUGGGAAAAGGUCACCAUGGAUUUUGUGAUGGGAUUGCCUCGCUCACAGGCCGGGCAUGACGCUAUUUGGUUGAUUAUGGAUAGGUUGACGAAAUCGGCACAUUUCAUACCUAUCCACACUACUUGGACUGGUGAGAGACUCGCACAGGUUUAUUUGGAUGAGAUUGUGCGAUUACACGGGAUACCUACUUCCAUAGUAUCAGAUCGAGACCCCCGUUUUGUAUCCCACUUUUGGAGGAGCUUACAGGACGCUCUGGGUACGCGUUUGGACUUCAGUACAGCUUUCCACCCCUAGAGUGACGGGCAGUCGGAGCGUACUAUACAGACUCUCGAGGACAUGCUUCGAGCCUGCGUGAUCGACUUCCAGGGAGGAUGGUCGCAGCAUCUACCGAUGGCAGAGUUUGCUUAUAACAACAGUUAUCAAGCAAGCAUCAAGAUGGCACCGUUCGAGGCACUCUAUGGACGGAAGUGUAGGUCGCCGCUUCAUUGGAGUGAAGUUGGCGAGAGAUUGGCUUUAGGCCCAGAUGUGCUCCAGGAAGCAGAGGACAAGGUUCGCAUUGCUCAGGAGCGAUUGUUGACAGCCCAGAGUAGGCAGAGGAGUUAUGCUGAUCGGCGUCAACGAGACUUGGAGUUUCAGAUUGGGGACCAUGUGUUCUUGAAAGUCUCGCCGACCAAGGAAAUUAGAAGAUUUGGGAUCCGGGGUAAGUUGAGCCCCCGAUUCAUUGGACCGUUUGAGGUUUUGGAGCGUGUAGGCCCGGUGGCUUAUCGACUCGCUCUACCGCCAAACCUAUCGGGGGUACACAAUGUAUUCCAUGUAUCGGUCCUUCGGAAGUACAUCCACGACCCGGCUCAUGUAUUGGAUGCUACACCUAUGGAGCUGCGGGAGGAUUUGAGCUUUGAGGAGCAACCCUUGGAAAUUUUGGCUCGCGAGGUGAAGAGAUUGCGGAACCAGAAAAUUCCCUACGUGAAGGUGCUUUGGAGCAACCACGACGAGCGCGAGGCCACUUGGGAGUUAGAGAGCGCACUGCGGGAGCGCUAUCCCCAUCUUUUUCAGAUGGAGGCUUGAGGUACUUUGUUUGUUUUGAGUUUUGCGGAGGAAACUCCUCUUUAGGAGGGAUGAAUGUAACACACUGGACCUUUGCAAAUUGCGAGGUUCGAGUGAUUGGCCGUGUUCUGAGCUUUUCUAGAUUUUCUGGUGGGUCGUUGACUGUGUUCCGACCUAUGGCACGUGUCCCGAGAUUUGUGGUACAAAGCCUUGCACCAAAACCCGAAAAAACGGGAUUUGGCUGACUCUCGGAUUGAGUUAUGGCAGGCUUGUACCGGUACAAGGUUGUGCUUGUACCGGUACAAGGUUGAUGGUUGUACCGGUACAGCCAUCGGAGCUUGUACCGGUACAGAGCCGCAGAGUCCAGCAACCCGAGCCUCGGGUUUGGAUUUCGUGGACCUUGUACCGGUACAAGAGCCCGUGUACCGGUACAAGGGGCAAAUUUCGUGCAGUUUGAACUGCAGGGGGCUGAUUUCGUGCAGUUUGAACUGCAGGGGGCUUUUUGCGAUUGUGGACUUCUUAUUAGUACCCCCCAUGCCCUAGGGGUCUUCUCUUGAGCUUGGGACCAGCAAGAGGAGAGGUAAGGGAGCCCUCUUUGAUUUUCUUUUGAUUUAUUUGGAUUUUGGUAGGAUUUUAAGAGAUUAAACCUCUCUUUUGCUUCUUUUGUUUGAUUGGAGGCUUUUCUACCUUUGGGGCUUUAUUUUGGAGCUUUGUUGAGGGGAGAUCCUUGGACUUGGAGAGUUUAGAGCUUGGAUUGGAGCUUCUAAGAGGUAAUCUACUUGCUCUCUCCCACUAGAUUUGAUUUUUGUUGAUGGAUUCAAGAUGAAACCCUAGAUUGGAGAAUUAGGGCUUAUUUUGGGCAUUUUGAUUCUAGGGCUUUUGGGGCUAAAUCUUUUGGAUUAGAACCUUUCCCUAGAUUGGAUUGGAAGGGAUUUAGCUCUCUUUUGGAGCUUGGGAGAGAUUUUCCACUCAUUAGGUGAGUUUUAGCCCUUGUGCUAUAAUUGUUAAUGCUUGAUCUUAUAGAUGAUCGUAAUGCUCGUGUAUCUCUUCGCUCAAUACUUUUAGGGUAAUUUGAGACUCGUGGACAACUUCGUUCGGCGAGACGGGGCACUACGCGACGGUUCGGUGGGUUUGACCUAGCCUAUAUAUGAGAAAUUCUCACAUAUGGUUAUGGAUGUUCCGUAAAUUGGAAAAGCAUGCAUAUUCAUACUAAAUGUAUUUAUUAUGAUUUUUAGAAUGCUUAAAAUGCAUAUGUUACAUAUGAUGAAAUUUUGGACCUCUAUGUAGUAGAGAGUUGCUUGGGAGAUCUAUGGUUGUAUUUAGCAUUCUUUAUGAGACUUGGUUUCAUGCUUCUAUAGUGUAAAUGAGUUCGGAUUCAUGCAUUUAAACUUAAGUUUACUUGUGACAUGAAAGAUGACAAAAUUGCCAUUUAGAAGGUGUGUGAACUAGAGAGCUAAUGUCAUCAAGCGGCAUUGAGCUCGGGACAUGUGUGAACCUAGUGGAUAGGGCCAUUGAGGAAUGUGGAACAUGCUUAAACAUUAAAUGUCUAAGUGUCAUAAAGGGGCACUAGACCUAGAGAAUGUUGGAACUUCAUUUGUGACUUAGAACUAGAUCUUCGAGAUGCUAGUGACUAUACCAUGUUAGAGACAUGAGGGUUGGAUACUUGAGACUUGGACUAUGCUUGCUUGCCAUUUGUGCUCAUUCGCACAUGCUUGUGAGGGUCGCUCCCUACAAGCCGGCACUCCGGAGUUAGCCUACGCGACUUAUGUUCGCUCGUGCGGUAUUGAGAAGCCUACGGGGUCGAGUGGGACAGACACAUUCCAAGAGUAGGGAUGUUGGGCUACCACAGGCACUUAGGCGGCACAAGCUGGACUACCUUUGGUAGGUCCUUAAUUGGAAAUGGAAAUCGACACGGUGUUGAGAAUGGUUAAUCACUACUAGAUAGGUUUAGUAGUUGAAUUACAUUUAUAUGCUUUUAGCAUAGUGUUGAGACAUGUAGUAUACUUGAUAGUCUCCUUUUGCAUUAAAGCAUACUUGGUUGCCAUGACAGAACUUAUGCAUAAUGUAUUCAUAAAGGUUAAUGACUUACUAUUUUGAUAUCGUAGAUGUACAUCACCAUGACAUCGUUUAUACUUGAGUUUAGUAAUUUAGCAUUUUAAUUAUGCCUUUAUAUCGCAGUCAUUAUUGCUAUUAUUAUUGUACUUACCCUUUUCUUUUGGGGCCUAGUGGUGCAUAGAGCUGAGGUCAGUAAUUGCCCACUGGGAACUAUAAAUUAUAGUUCUCACGCCCUCUUUUUCUCGAUGUUUUUCAGAGCCUUCCACGCAGGGUGAGGCCAGGGAUCGCGGGAAGGGAGUUGCUUCGAGCUAGCUUCCUUCGAGGACGAGUUGCUAGGUGGUCUACCUCUCGAUAUUUACUUUUUGGCGAGAGGUUGAGGGUUUUGCCAGAGUAUAGAGACCACCAUUUUUGUACUAGAGACAGAUAUUGUACUACUUAUGUUUUCUUUUUUUUUUGACUAGCUUUAUUUCUUUACUUUGGUGUAGAUGAUAGAACUUUACUUGCUCUGAUAUCAUUAGUUGCUAGUUACUUCACUUCUUUUAUUUGUUCUAUCUCUUGCUUUACUUUCGCUUUUAUUGUAGACGCCUUAUAUGUGUAGACAUAUGGCGGGUCUGGGCACGCUACCGGGAGGGCCUUCGCCGGUCCCGGGGCGUGACAAAAGCCCUCACCUGGUUAUCCACGAAAUAGAGCUCAAAAGGAUCUCUAGGGAGGGCUGGGGUGGUAUAUAAAGGUUGCAACAAUUGCAAAUAGAACCCCCAACAAAAAUAGCCUUUUCUGCAAAGUGUACCGGUACACGGGAAGGUGUACCGGUACAAAUCCCGCGUAUGUGCGAACUCGAGGCUCGGGUUGGCGGAAAAUUCCACUUGUACCAGUACAACCAUCAAGUUGUCACCGGUACACUUUCUGUACCGGUACAACCAUCAAGGUGUAACAGUACACAGCCCCUCAAAAUGCAAUCCGAGAGCAGCCUAAGUCCAUCAUUUUGGCGACCUUAGCGCUACUUUAAAUACUACAAUUCUCGGGAUACGAGCCAUAGGUCGGAACACUGUCAACGACCCUCUAGAAUAUCUGGAAAAGCUCGGAACACAGAUCAAACACUCGAACCUCGCAAUUUGUAAACGUCCAGUGUGUUACACCCCGUCAUUGUUCCCUCGGGUGGUAGUGCUAGUAGCCUCCCCCGGUAGACGGGAAUUGUGGUUUGUUAGUUUGGGGUGAACCAUGAGUACUCCGGGAUAAUUGGGUAAAGGCCAAAGAGAAUAAGAACACGAACAUGCAUGCAUAGUUAUCAUGUAUUUGAUUGUCUAUCUGUUGACAGCUUUCUUGCAGGCAUUGUAAUAGUUUUGCAUUAGUUGGUUUGCAAUCAAUCAUUUCGUGAAAUUACAUAUGCCUGAAUAGACCUAGUGGGCGAGUCGGCACGGUCGGCAGCCGAACCCACUGGGAACUUCUUUUAGUUCUCACACCACCACUAACCCUGCAGAUCCAUGCGUAAGCGGGGCGGCGGAGGAUCGAGGCAAGGGACUAGCACCGUAGUUAGCGGCCUCGGAGUUUAUAGGCAUACCCUAUAUGUAUAUUCAAUUUUUGUAUGUUGAAGUAAGGAAUGUAAAUAAUGUAAAUCUUCUAUUUUGGUCAAAGGAUAAUGUGAUGUAAAUAUGUAACAUACCACAUCCCUCGUAAGUCGUGCCGAGUUCCGUCAAAAUGAGCGGAACGCGAAAUUGAACGAGUUAAAGUGGACCCUAAGUGCAUUGGAGUUCAUAAACGGAGCAAAAAGGGACCCGGAGAGCAAAUUUGGAAAUCUGGCUAAGUCCCAGAUUUUGAGCUCUCGGGGACCGGUCCCUGAAGGAGAGACCGGUCCCCGUGCGCGUAGCCUGCCAGAAAAUCCUGAGGCAACCGGUCCCUGGUGGUGAGACCGGUCCUCGGGAGACCGGUCCCUGAUGGGCAGACCGGUCCCUCGCUGCGCAACAGCAGAAAAACUCGAAAAUUUGGCUAAGUCCUGGAAAACCCCCGUUCGGGAACCGGUCCCUGGGGGGAGACCAGUCCCCGAAGGCGAAAAACGCCAGUCUGGGCAGAUCAAGGGAACAGUUGAGGGUUUAAAUGCAAUUGUUACAACACUUUUAUAUGGGCCAUCCCCUCUCCUCACAGCCAUUUCUUCUCCUCUCUCCAUUUUCUCUUUUUCUCUCUCUAGAACUCCUCUAGAACUUGGAGAAGAAGAAGAAGAAGAAGAACUUGGAGAAGAAGGUGGAUUUUGGUGCCUUGGAGGUUCUAGGAGCUCUCCAACAGAAGAAUCUUUGUGGAGCUUGGACUAGAGGUAAGUUUUUAAGGUUUUUCUCUAGGGUUUGGAUUUUGGUUAAGAGAUUGGAGCUUUGUGCUCCUUAGAGGUUUUAGGAGCUCUUUGAGCGAUGAAAACAAGGUACCAUGAGAGUCAAGGUGCUCUCAUGGUGAACCUUGGAAGUUGGGUUAGAAGCCCUAGGGUUAGUUCCAAAAGCUUGGAAACCUUUUAGAAUGCUUCCUAAGUGAAUCUAAAGCUACCAUUUGUUAGGGUUGAGAUCAAUUCAAGGGGAAACCCUAAAUGGCAAUGUUAGGGCUUGGAUUUGGGGCUUUUGCCCUAGGAUUUUUCGGGGACAAUUGACCCCGUAGAACCUAAUUGGGGUGCCCUAAACUGUCACGCCCCGGGACCCAGCGGGAGCCCGCCCGGCGCGUGCCCAGACCCGCCAUAUGUCUACAACAUAUAAGGCGUCUAAAAAAAAAACAACAAUAAUAAAGGCAAUAUUAAAAGGCAUCUAGAAGUAUCAGAGCAUAAUAAAUGUCUAAAUGCUACAACAAAGGAUAAGGAAAAACUGUAAAUCCACUAAAUAAGACAUAAAGUGAAUACAAUAGGAAAUCCCAAGUACAAGUGCUAUAGGCAGAUACAUAGGUGGUCUCUAUACAUGGGUACAAAACCUCACACUCUCUCAAAAUAUAAAAGAAGAGUAAACCACCUAGGCAGAGUACCGCUUCUCGCUAGCUAGCUAAGCGAUCCCCUUGCCGCGAUCCCGUGCCUCCGCCGGUGCAGAAGGCUCUGAAAAGGAAACCAUAAAACAGGGGCGUGAGAACUAUUAAAAAUAGUUCCCAGUGGGCAAUUACUGACUUCAGUGAAUGCACCACAAGGCCCAAAGCUACAAGAGAUAUUAGUGACUAUAAAUGUAGAAAAAACGAAAGGUAAGUAAAAUGUAACUUACUACAACUUGAUAUCUCUACUUAGCAUAAAUAGCAUAAGUAUGAAGCAACUAUGCAUGAAGUAUAAGUCUCCAACUAUCAUAAUGUUCACAAUGCGAAAUAGUAAAGUUCCGUUGUUUACUAUUCUAGUCAAUGUCCAAAUAAUACUCUAAGUCAUCAUCUGUCCACAUGUCAUAAUGAAUACUCAAGUCGAAUCUGAAGAGACCCACCCGAAGGCUGUCUAUGGCCCUGAGACCCACCCGAAGGCUGUCUGGCCAGUGCCGAGCCUAAUGGCCCCGUAGUAGUCAACAUCCCCACCCUAGGAAUGAGCCUGGCCCACGGCAAUCCACUUCGGCGCCCAAUCCCGCACGGCGAAUAUGUAUCGCGAUGGCCAUCUCCGGAGUGCCGGCUUGUAGGGAGCGACCCUCACAAGCAUGUGCGAAUGAGCACAAUGGCAAGUAGUCAAACGAUCUGUCGCAAGUACCAAGUCCUCAUGUCUAAUAAUAUGGAAUGUGUCGAAUGUCCCAAAGGCCUAUCUCUAUGUCAUCAUGUCUCUAACAUGGAAUAUAUAUAGCAGAUAUACAAUGGCCUAUCAUCAUGUCUCUAAGUUGCUUUUUAUCGUUUACUAAUUCCAAGUGCCUCUUUAUGACACUUUUGUUCAACGGGUCCCAAGCAUGGCAUUAAUAUGUUCAUGAUGCAUAGUUCCCUCAAUUCUAGCAUGAAGACAUGUUCUCAACUUGCGAAACCAAGUACUGUCCACAAUGCAUGCAGUCUACACAUAUAGCUCUACUAUAUGGAGUACAAAUUUUACGAUACAUGAGGCAUGCAUGUUAAGUGUUCUAAAAUUCAUAUAAAUCAUGUUUAGCACGAAUUUGCAUUAAAAAAAUACUUUACAAAAGUUUAGAAGGCAUAGGGGCCAUUUUGCCCCAUUUUCAUGAAGUCAAACCCACUAAAAAAAAAAUCGACUUCUUCGUUUCGCCGAACGAAGAUAUCCACAAGCUCCCUAGUACUCUAGAAACAUCAAAAAUAGGGUCACCCAAACGAAACGAAGAGCGAAUAGCUCAAACAUUAACCAACUCAAGCUAGGGUUGGGGAAAAACUCACCUCAAGUGGAAAACCCUCUCUAAAUCCUCAAAUGGAAGGUAGAGGUCUUCCAAUCUAACCUAUAUAACGGUUCCAAACCCAUCAAUUAGGUCUCAAAACCCCCAAAUUCGAAAACCCCCAAAUUCGAAAACCCCCAAAAUAAACCCUAAAUCCCAAAAUCUAGGGUUUCAUCUAGAAAAACCUAGAAAAACAAGUAUCAAAUGGGGAUUAUAAGCUACCAACCUCAAGAGAAGCCCCAAUCCAAGCUCAAAACCAAGUAGGGUUGGAGUUUGAUCCUCCACAAAGCUCCAACCGCAUGCUCCAAGCCUCCAAAGGUGGAAAAUGAGGAAGAAGAUGAUGCUCCAAGGCCUCUAUGCAAGCUCCUUCUCCUCUUCUUCUCCUUCUUCUCCUUCCCUUUCUCUCUCUAGAAGUGUAGGAAGAGUGUGAGGGAGAGAAAAUGAGAGUGAGAGGGGAGGAGAGGCCGCUAUAGCCUCUAAAGUAACAAAUCCACAUAGGCCCUCAAAAACUCAAAUUUACACACAACUCGGACUGGGCCAGUUUUCGCCCAGAGGGACGGCGGUCUCCCGACCUGGGACCGGUCUCUCAGCCUGCCCCCGAAAAUCCAACGUUCGGGAGCCGUCUCUCCCUGUGCGGGACCGGUCUCUCCCCGCGCAGACGCGCUCGGGACUGGUCUCAACUGCCAGGGACCGGUUGCCUCGCCUGCUACGCAGCACUUUUCACUGGGAACCGGUCUCUCCUAUCAGGGACCGGUCCCGGAGAGUAAAACUCUCAGGACUCAACCAAAAACUCUCGAGAUCAACCUUUUAGACCGGUAUACCAUCGACGGGCCCUCCACCAAGUGUGGAAAAGUUCGAAUACACAUCGAACACUCGAACCUCGCAAUUUGCAAAGGUCCAGUGUGCUACAUAAACACGUUGGACACACUCCGUUUAACAUUACGAAAUGUUAGAACAAAGUUCAUGUACAAAAAGGCCUAAUAUGGCAUUAUUUUGAUUAUAGGCGCGGAAUCGGAUUUCGUAAAGUGCGGGAGCUUCCGUAAUCUACACCCACACAACUAAUAGAGGUGGGGGGUGCAUGCCGGAAUCGUUGGAUUCCUUCUAUGUCUGUUUUCUCUACUCGUGAGCAUAUAUGAUAUAAUUAUAUACCCAUUCAUGCAUAGUAGGGUAGCUACAUGUGGAACUUGGUUCGACUUCAUUUAUAUGCUUCUAACGUAGUUGAACAUAGAGAAUGAUAGAACCAAAAUGGACAUGUGUGUUUGGGCCCUCAAGUUGUGUGAAUGUGAGAAUGGACUUGGACAUUAGAAAACAAGAGUGUCAUUGACAUAGAAACAAGAAUUGCAUUGUGAGAUGAACCGUUGAAUAUAGUUUAACCCAUAUUGACAUUGUCAAAGAUAAAGCCUUGAGAGUGGCAAGAAUGAAUAGGUAGAGACCUAUCGUGACAUUGGCAUUGUGACUAGUGGCUAUGAGUCCUCAAGUUGAGGAUUAGAUCGAUAUUCACAUUUCGUCUUGGCUUGAGGGGAGGUCGCUCCCCUCGACGGGUGCGCUCCGGAGUUGGUCACUCACUGGGCAUGGUAAAGUCCCACUAGUUGACAGGUCCUAGGGAGGUUCGAGUCCCCCGUUAUUAAGAAAUUUUGGGUUGUGAGUUAUUGGGUUAACAGGUUAACCGUAAGAUUGGGUAAGAGCCAAAGCUUGAUUAUGAUUGAAGCAUGCAUGCAUUUCCAUUACCGAUUGAAAUUGUAUAUCUACUGACUUCUUUCUUGCAGGCAUAGUAUUAGUCGCAUUAGUAAUGGUUACUUUCUCCUUUGAAAUACUUAUGCCUGGAUGACCUAGUGGGUAAGUCGUGGCGGUCCGGCAUGCCGAGCCCACUGGGAACUUCGUUGUAGUUCUCACACCACUAACCCUACAGGUCCUAGUGCGAGCGGGGCGGCGGAGGACCGAGGCAAGGGUUUGGCGCAGUAGGUAGCGGCCACCGGGACUUUAUGCAUUUUGUAGUCAUUCCCUUUUGUUUUACAUGUAUCAACUUUAUUCUGUUGAUUUAGGUAUGAAAAAUGUAAAUAAUCAUGUAUUUGGAGGAUGACUAAAUGUAAAAGAUAUGAUGGUUGAAUGGAAUGUAAUAGCCUUGUUUACUUGAAUUUGGUUUAAAUGAAAUCAAAUAUCAUGUGUGAUGUAUAUUUAGCUUAAAGCUUUCGCUUCCGUUGUUGCUUGCCCUCGCGCAAGCCUUGUAUUAUAAUAAUGAAAUUCUCUCGAUUAUUGCCACUUUAUACCUGUUGUUAGAGCCUUGGGUGGACAGGGGAGGCUCUGUCCGUUCGGCGUCUGUUGACGUGACCCGAACCCGACCAAAUUGGCGUGGAUUGGGGCGUGACAAAAUGAAUGAAAAAGAAUGAAUGUAAAGGAAUAGCUUACUUGUGUUUGAUUAAAAGUAAUCAAAUGACUGGUAUAUUGAAUGGUUGUAAUAGCAUAGGUGCUUUCAUUCAUGGUUUAGUAGUUGUUUGCCCUCGAGCAAACCUAGUAUAAUUGCAUUCAUCUUGUUGAAUUGCUUGAAUUAUACUUGUUGAUUAGAGCAUUGGGAAGACAUGGGAGGUGCUGUCCGUUCGGCUUCUGUCGGCGUGCCCGAACCGACCAAAUUGGCGGCCUCGGGGCGUGACAAAGAUUAUACUGAAAAUAUUAUCGAGUAGGGGAGUGGGUAUCUUGUAUUACUGAUGGCGGGUUACAUUGUAAUUAAGUAUGUAAAAUUACAAGUUUAUCCUUUUGAACCCCAUACCUUUUCAAUACAUCAUUUUUAAAAUUUUAAUUUAAAUUUUUAAAUUGUCAAAUUUGAAGUUUGAAAUUUUAAUUUAAAAUUUUAUUUAAAAAUUUAAAUUUAAAAUUUUAUUUUAAAAUUUAAAAUUUGAGGUUUCUGACAAGUUACAAGAGUGAUCGAAGCGCCAGAAGGUCAAAAGUGCAUUGUUCGUUAGAUGUGGAAAAGUGUGAAGUUUAAAUGUGAUAUUGGAAUUUGACUGAUUAUGAAGUCUGAUAAGUGGGAAUGAUAAUUGGAAUUAUUCUACAUUUUCUAAAGGGUUUAGAGACGUUGGUGAACCAGUUUGGAAGCAAAUAGGCCACUGGAAGCAAGAAAGUGCAUUGCUAUUGCUACUUUUGGCAUUUCUGCAUUGUGUACCGGUACAACAUUAAGGAUGUACUAGUACAGAAAGCAGCAGCUGCAGUAGCUGCGUGGCAGCAGGGAGACUUUGGUCUUUUGGCUGUUGAUCUUAUCUCCACAGGGGCCAGCUCGACUCCUGAAGUUACCUGAGAGUUACUGGAGCUCAGGGGAAGGGUUUGGCACCUCUCCCACUCUCUCUCUCUAGGGUUUUUCUCUCUCUAAAAGAGAAGCAAGGAUUUGAGCUUAUUUUCUCUUUUCUUUAAGGUUGCUGUUGUAGAGAGAGCUGGGACCAGCUGGGAUGAAUAGAAAGAAGGGGUCUAAUGAUGUUUUAUCCACCCUAACUCGGAAUUACCUGAGUUGAAGCUGUGGGAGGUAAGUAAUUUCAUUACUAAUUAUGUUUGGAGUAUUUGUAAGGUACCGGACUUCUAAAACUAUGAAGUUACGGUGUAUAUUUAAAUGGUUCCGGUGAGGUUACGGUGGAAUGUAACAUACCGGAUUUUAAAUAUAAAAGUGAAAAUAAAUAAAAUAGUAUGAGAUACUAUUUUAUGGGAUUUAGAGAAGUGAAGUAUAGGUUGGGAAUGACCUGUGCUGAAAUCGGAGCGAAAACAGAAGAUUUAGAAUUUUCUGUAAGAGACGAGGAAGAUAAAUUAGCAGAAAAUACACAGUGUCAGAAAAUUAUGAAAACUGGAGGGUAAGUCAGAAUUAUUUUUAUGAGGCUAGAUUUCAAGUUUCAUAUCAUUCUGACACCCGUAGAGUGAGAAAUAAAAUCCGACAACUAUCUGAUAAAGAUUACAGUUCGGUACAGUUUUCGGUGACCAAAUGGGGUCGAAACUGAAAACUUAAGAUAUAUUCUUGUUCAGUACGUUAAACCGAACAUGACUGUCAAAUUUGAGCUCAAACGGAUACUUUGGGAGCUCCGGCGAAAGAUAUCAUAUUUUAAGUUGCCUUGAGUGAAUAUUGUUGGUGUUGACUUUAAUUAGAAGCAUCAGCUUCUUCUCCUUCAACCGACCACCACCACCAUGGCCACACACACGCACGCAUGAAAGGGGGAGAGAAACCCUCCUUUCUCUCUCUAAAUAUCUCUCUCAUCUCUCUAUAUCUCUCUUUUAAAAUUGGAGGGUUGGUGGAGAUCGAGCUUGCGAACGCGUUGGAGGCGACGGAUUGAGCUUUCGUGCGCCCGUUGGAGCGGCGUGUUUUCGUUGCGGCGUUCACGUUGGGGUAAGCUUUUGGGAUUUGGCUUAAUCCUUAGCUUUAAGUGUUCUAUUAGCCUCUAAUGAGCUUUGUUGGCAUAUUGAUCCAUUUAAUUUGGAUUAUUUGGAGGUUAAUUAUACGUUAGGGCUCCGAAUGGGGUUUUAUAAAAUAUAAGGGUUUGAUCUAAUUUGACCAUCCGUAAACCUAAUUGCUAGGUAAACCAACGCGUUGGCGAAGUCGGUUCGGCGAUUCGUCGAGCCUACGCGAAGUUAUUAAAGAAACGGACGUUUAGGCUUCGUUUCCGCCUGGAGAGCCGAGGCGACGUCGUAAAAUCAUGAAAACGGAUUUGAAGCACCGUGGCACAUAACCGAAGACCUUUAAUUUUUGAAUCGUUUAACUCCCCGCAUCGGCGAUACCUUUAGAAAUACGCAGUCUCCAACCGCGAACUCUAUAUCCUUUCUUCGCUUGUCGGCAUAACUCUUGUGCCGAGAUUGCACCGUCGCAAGUCUUUGUCGGGCAAGAUGAACUUUCUCCUCCGCCUCCCCAACCACCUCGGGGCCAAGAGCAACUCUCUUGCCCACAUCGCUCCAAUGAAUCGGCGAGCGACAUUUCCUUCCAUAAAGGGCCUCGAAUGGCGCCAUCGCGAUGCUUUCCUGAUAGCUAUUAUUAUACGCAAAUUCCGCCAUUGGUAAUUUAUCAUGCCAUCCGCCCUUAUAGUCAAGUACACACGCUCGAAGCAUAUCCUCAGGUAUUUGAAUAGUCCUCUCCGAUUGACCGUCACUUUGAGGAUGAAAUAUUGUACUAAAGUCGAGCCGUGUGCCCAAUGCAUCUUGCAAGCUCCUCCAAAAAUGAGAUGUGAACCUAGGGUCUCGAUCCGAUACAAUUGACACCGGAACCCCGUGAAGUCUCACAACCUCGUCGAGAUAUACUUGGGCUAGCUUGUCCCCCGACCAAGUAGUGUGGAUCGGCAAAAAGUGUGCCAAUUUUGUCAACCGAUCCACAACUACCCAAAUCGCAUCAUGUCCACCUUGGGAUCUAGGCAAACCGGUCACAAAGUCCAUUGCAAUAUUUUUCCAUUUCCAAAUAGGUAUUGAUAGGCUUUGCAACUUCCCCGCCAGAAACCGUCGUUCCGCCUUUACUUGCUGGCACGUGAGGCAUUGUGCCACGAACUCCCCUAUGUCCUUUUUCGUGCCCGGCCACUAUAAUGUAGCUUCAAGUCUUGAUAUAUUUUGGUGCCGCCCAGGUGAAUGCUAUAGCGAGAUUGAUGUGCUUCUUAUAUAAUCGCCCUCCGAAGAUCAUCGUCCUUGGGCACACACCAACGAUUUCUGAACAAGAGUGCGCCGUCGGUCCCAAUGCCAAAUUCAUCGGCACUACCACUCUCAACUUUACCUCGCACCUUUUAGAGAUAUUCGUCGGAAACUUGCAAUUCUUUAAUUUUCUCCAAUAAGGUUGGUUGCACAAUCAAUGUGGCAAGUGUUGCCGGCACUCCAAGUGCCACAACCUCAAGACGGAACUGUUGCAUCUCCUUUUGCAAUGCUGGUUGGGGUGUAAUUGCCGUCGCAAAAUUCUCCGCCGACUUUCUACUUAGAGCAUCGGCCACGACAUUAGCCUUCCCGGAGUGGUAUAGAAUAGUGACAUCAUAGUCCUUUAGCAACUCUAACCACCGCCGCUGUCACAUAUUUAACUCCUUCUAGGUAAACAAGUAUUUGAGACUCUUGUGGUCGGUGUAGAUCUCACAAUGCUCACCGUACAAGUAAUGCCUCCACAACUUUAGCGCGAAGAUAACCGCCGCUAGCUCAAGGUCAUGAAUCGAGUAGUUCUUUUCAUAACUCUUUAACUGGCGCGAAGCAUAAGCUAUAACUCGGCCAUUUUGCAUCAAAACGUACCCGAGACCAAUAUAAGAAGCAUCACUGUACACUACGUAGCUCUUCCCCGGUGUCGGCAAGACAAGCACCAGGGUCGAUGUCAACCUUUCCUUUAGCUCCUCAAAGCUCCGGUCACAUUUGGGGCUCCAAACAUACUUCACCCCUUUGUGGGCAAGGCGCGUUAGUGAAGUAGUUAUCUUAGCAAACCCCUCCACGAACCGCCGGUAGUAGCCUGCAAGUCAAAGAAAGCUACGAAUUUUCGUUACACUUGUCGGGCGAGGCCAAUCUUUAAAUGCCUCAAUUUUCGUUACGAAUUUUGUAUACAGCUUUUCCUUUCGGAGUGUCUCCAACACGAUCCUCAAAUAGUCCUCGUGUUCUUCCUCGGUCCGAGAAUAUACCAACACGUCAUCAAUAAAUACCACGACGCACCGGUCCAAUAGCGGACGGAAGACUCGAUUCAUCGAGUCCAUAAAGGCUGCCGGGGCAUUAGUAAGCCCAAACGACAUAACUGUGAACUCAUAGUGGCCAUACCGCGUACGGUACGCUGUUUUGUGCACAUCCUUGUGCCAUUUCUUCAACUGAUGAUACCCCGAUUGAAGGUCGAUCUUUGAAUAUACCCUUGACCCUUGCAACUGAUUGAAUAAAUCGUCAAUCCUCGGUAGCGGGUACUUGUUCUUGAUCGUCAACUUGUUCAACUCACGAUAAUCAACGCAAAGUCGAAGCGUGCCAUCCUUUUUCUUUACAAAUAGCACCGAAGCUCCCCACGGAGACACGCUCGGCCGCACAAAGCCUUUAUCGAGCAAGUCUUGUAAUUGAGCCUUCAACUCUUUAAGUUCCACUAGUGCUAUUCUAUACGGAGCCUUCGAAAUUGACGCUGUCCCGGGAAUCAAAUCAAUGACGAAUUCAACUUCCCAGUCCGGAGGCUCCGCCGGAAACACAUCCGGAAAUUCACACACUACUCGAAUGCUCCCCAAAUCCGGGUGCUCCUUUUGAGUAUCCACCAUUGUCGCCAAAUAGGCCACACAACCUCCUUUAAUCAUUUUCCUCGCCCUCGCCGCCGAUAUGGUCGCCGCGAAGCGCUUGCUUUUACAUGCCCAGUAUACUAAUUCUUCUUAAUUAGAUUCACGGAAUGUGAUCACCUUACUUUCACAAUCGAUGACCGCGUAAUACUUGGAGAGCCAAUUGAUCCCCAAGAUUACAUCAAAGCCCCACAUUUGGUUUAUCAUCAAUAGGUCUAUCGGCAUAAUCCAAUCACCGAUCUGUACUAGACAAGCCAAGCACUCGUCAUAAACACGGAAUGAAUGCUCUGGUGUAUUCACCGACCAAUAGUCCUCAUUAUGCGUGACCUCUAUGUCAUGAGCUUGUGCAAAUGAUGCCGCUAUGCAUGAAUGUGAUGCACCUAUAUCAAACAAUGCCCUAGCUCUAGUGCCUUUGAUAAGGAUAAUACUUGCCACCACGUCAUCUGGUAUCGCCGGCUGCUCCUCCACCUGAGUGGCAAAUACCCGCCCACUAGGUGCUCGAGAGGCCUCUGGCUGACGAGGCAUUGAUGAACAUCUAGCCGACAUAGCGGGUGGCAAUCCCGCCUGCUGUCGCGGAGUAUACUGAACCGAAGCUGAUGACGGAGCAGGUGAUGCACUGCCCGGGCACUCCCGGCCCAAAUGACCCGGUUGGCCGCAUCGAUAACACCGCCCCUCCCGCUGAGGGCAAGCAGUAACCCUGUGGUCCCCGCCGCAAAUCACGCACGGGUAGGAAGUCCGGCCCUGUGUCUGACUCCUGCCUCCCCACCACUGUGAUCGUCGAGGUCGAGGGAGUCACUUAGAACUCGACUGCCCCGCGGAUCCACUAGCUGCCUGCUUCUUGGACUUAUCCCUUUUCUUGUCCUUCUCAAAUGCCUCGCGCUCCUCUCGCGCAAUAGCAUUGCCGCGCUCCACCCAAAGCGCGCGGUCAAGUACUUCCUCGUAGGUCUUCAAGCGGAACGUAUGAAUAACCUUGAAUAUUUCGGGUCGCAACCCGGGCUCAAAAGCCUCCGCUCGGUCCCUAUCGCCAUGAACCAAGCUCGGCACGUAGUUGAUUAGGUAUGUGAACUCCUUCUCGUACUCACGCCCCGCUCCUCGCCUAUUUGGUCGGGUUCGGGCCACGUCAAUAGACGCCGAACGGACAGAGCCUCCUCUAUCCGCCCAAGGCUCUAACAACAAGUAUAAUUAAGCAAUCAAACAAAGAGAUUUGCAAUUAUACAAGGCUUGCACGAGGGCAAGCAACAACGGAAGCGAAAGCUCUAAGCUAAAAGAUACAACCAUACAUAAUAUUUGAUUACAUUUAAAGCAAAUACUAGUAAACUAAAACUAUUACAUCCAUUUGCUUUCAUUCAUAAUAUCUUUUACAUCUUAAUCAUUCAACCCCAAAAUGCAUAAAGGUUUACAACUUUUACAUCUCUAGAUCAACAAAAUAAAGUUGAUAUAUGAACAAAACAGGUAUGACUAAAUGCAUAUGCUCCGGUGGCCACUAGAUAUGGCGCAAGGCCCUUGCCUUGAUCCUCCGCCGUCCUGCUCGCGCUCGGAUCUAUAGGGUUUGUGGUGUGAAAACUACAACGAAGUUUUCAGUUGGUUUAGCAACCGACCUCGCCGACUUACCCACUAGGUCUAUUCAGGCAUAAGUAAUCCAAAGGAAGAGAAAAGUAGCCAAUAUUAAUGCUAAUACUAUGCCUACAAGAAAUCUGUCAGUGGAUAUAUAUAAUCAAAUAUGAAUGGUUAUGCAUGUAUGCUCUUUCCAUAAUUUUACUUUGGCUUUUACCCAAUCUUACCGGUUAACCUUGUUAACCCCAAUAACUCACAACCCAAAAUUCCUUAAUAACGGGGGACUUGAACCUCCCUGGGGACCGUCUUCGGGGACCUCACUCCCCGUGGUGACUAUUCCGGAACGCACCGCUUGACGGGGAGUUACCUUGCUCAAGCCAAGACUUAUCGUGAGUAUCGAUCCAAUCCUCAACUUGAGGACAUAUAGCCACUAGCCACAAUGCCACUUUAACAAUGAUAGGUUCCUACCUUAUCAUACUUACAACUUUUGGUUAAACCUUGUUUAACUAUUCUUGUCUCAAUGUCAAUUUUGUCUCUAUUGUCAAUGUCAUCUUUGUUUACUAUUAUCAUAGGCCGGGUCUCACAUUCAUACAAAUAUAGGGUCCAACAUUCAUGUCUCUUAUGGUUCAUGUUCAAUCACUAUGUUCAUCUACAUUAGAAGCAUAUAAAUGAAAUUCAACCAAUUUUCACAUGUAAACUACCUUACCAUGCAUGAAUGACUAUUGACAUAAUGCUCAACAAAAAGGUGAAAUAGACAUAGAAGGGAAUCCAACGAUUCUGGAGUGCACCCCCGACCUCGAAUAGUAGCAUAGGAGUUAGGGUUUGAUUCUCGUAAUUUUUAGACUCCUAUUCCGCGUGCUACGGCGAUCUGUACCAAACUAGAGCCAAAUUAGGCUUUUUAUUCGAUAUCUUUGCAUAGUCUUUUUGUUUGGCCGAACCGAGCGCACCAAGGCGUCGAAAAUACCCCUAAUUAGGUUUCCAUGAGGUCAAUUUACUUCGGAAACAAUCGGAGGCAAAAGCUCCAAAUUCUAUGCCCUAACAAUGUCAUAUAUUGUUUUCUCCUAGAUUGAUCUUGUAUCUAAGCAAAUGCUAGCUUAGAAUCAACUAGGAAGCUCUCUAAUACCCUUUAUAAGCCAUUCAAAUCAUUCCUAGGGAAUCUACUAUGAACCCUAGAUGUUCACUAUGAGAGCACCUUGAGAAAACCAUAGAUUUCAUGUAUUCAAGGUCUCAACUAAGCUUCUAAACAUGAGAGAAGCUUAAAACUCUUUAGGGUGGAAAUCCAAACCCUAGAACCAUUCUUGCAAAAUAACUCACCUUAGCCCAAGCUCUUCCAAGUCCUUCUUGUUGGAGAGCUUCUAGACCCUUCAAAACCACCAAAAUAUCUCCUCCAAGCCUUCUUCUCCUUCUACUCCUUGCUCUAGGGCAAGAUCUCUAGAGAAAGAAAGAGAGAAAUGAGAAGGAGAGAUGGUUUGCUGUGUAAACAGGGAGAAAGGAGUGUGUUAGGUCAUAUAUGGUGUGCUACAAUAGCAACUAGGCCCCCCAAUAACUUAUAUUUGCAGCAGACUAAACCUUGCCGUCGGGUUCAAAGUGUACCGGUACACGGGCUACUGUCACCAGUACACUUUCUGUGCAAAGGCAAACCCGAGAGUAGCUUCUCUCGGGUUCGUAGCAUUUGUACUAGUACAAAAUAUUUUGUACCGGUACACUUUCAAAUAUUCUCAAACCCGAAAGCAAUUUCCGCUCGGGCAGCACUGUUGUACCGAUACACCCCUGGUGUUAAACCAGUAACACAUGUUCCAAAAUUUUUAGUUUCGCGCCGUUUCGACUCUAUUUCGUGUCGUUCGAUGCUAAAACUCUUCUAACUCUUUUAAACUCAUCUUUAACCCUUCCAACAUUGUUGGAAUGCUAAACGCAACUUGUCCAUCCAUCUCUUUUGCCUACUUUAGUCAAUUUGGCUAAAGUUCGAUAAUCGUUCUCGAGGUUUCAAUAUGUUACAGUAUCAAUAGUAAUCUCAUUCAGAAAUUCAAGAUACAUGGAUAAGUCGAAAUAAUUUGUAAUGUUCAUAACGCGAACAAAACGCGCCCUUAAGCUAGUGUCAUGCCCCGGGGCCGGCCCAUUUGGUCGGUUCGAGCACGUCAAACAGACGCCGAACGGACAGUACGUCCCUUGUCCGCCCAAGGCUCAACACAAGUACAAAUCGAGUGUAUAGAUUGCACAUGCGGAAACAUACAUACAUGGCUUACACGAGGGCAAGCAUUAGCCAAAAGUGAAAGAUUCUAAACUAAACAUUCAUACAAGUAAUAUGAUUAACUUUUAACCACAUACAUGCAUUCAACAUUUACAUUUACAUUCUUUUCAUUAUUUCUUUUUACAUCACAUGAUCUCCCAAAAUACAAGCUCUCUUUACAUCAUUUAUCAUAUCCAUAAUACUAACAUUAUCAAAAACAAAAGAUGAUAUAUAAGGAAUGCAACUAAAUAAGUAUGAAACCGACUCGGGUAGUCACUGUUUAUGGCACGAUACCUUUACCGCGAUCGUCGGCCGGCUCACUCGGUCCUGGCUCUGUGGAAAAUAGUAGGGUGAGAACUACAACAAAGUUCCUAGUGGGUUCGGCCGCCGACCUCGCCGACUUUCCCACUAGGUCUAAAUCAGGCAUAAUAGAAGAAUAAAUAGAUAGAUAGUAACCAAACUGUACAAAUGCAACUAAUAUGCCUGAACAAGAUAUAAUUAUAAGGAUGCUGAAAUAGAAUGCUCAUGAUGCAUGCAAGAUCACAAUUCCAUUACUCAAUCUCUUGGCUAACCCGUAGGUUUUGCCCAAAGCAACUCACCAACUCAUAAUCCCUAAUAUCGGUGAGACUACUACACUCAACGGGACCGUCCUCUGGGGAAACACCAACCCAGUGAUGACUACUCCGGAGCUCAUCGCUCGAGGUGGAGCUACCACCCUCGAGCCAAGACUUAUAGGCGAGUAUGAUCCAAUUCUUAACUAUAAGGAUGUCAAGUUCAAUCCAAUCCUUAACUCUAAGGAUGCAAUGCUCAAUCUAUUCCCUAACUAUAAGGAGGCCUCAACUAUGAGGAUGUCAUAAUCACAUAUGUCAUAAUGUCAAAUAUCUCAUUUUCUUGCAUUCUUUAACUCUCAUUAGUGCCACCUACACUAUAUGUUCUUUAUACUCAAUCCCAUGUAUUUAUUAUUCUCGUUAAUGCCACACUUGUACACUAGCAUCCAAAACUCAUUGAUGCCACUCUACUAUUGAUGUCAUAAUUUCAUUUGUUCUCAAUGUCACUAGAUUCUUUGCCUUUUCUAGGUUCUUGUCAUCAUUCAUGCAUACAUAGGGUUUUACAAGUUUUCAUUAAUUUACAACCAUCUCAUAUGCAUUUGUACUCACAACAUGCAACAACUAGCUCUCAAUCACCCUACAUGCAUACAUUCUUUAACUCUCAUUAGUGAUUAUGGCAUAUGUGAUUAUGAGGAUGUCAUAAUCACAUAUGCCAUAAUGUCAAAUAUCUCAUUUUCUUGCAUUCUUUAACUCUCAUUAGUGUCACCUACACUAUAUGUUCUUUAUACUCAAUUCCGUGAAUUUAUUGUUCUCGUUAAUGCCACACUUGUACACUAGCAUCCAAAACUCAUUGAUACCACUCUACUAUUGAUGUCAUAAUGUCAUUUAUUCUCAAUGUCACUAGAUUCUUUGCCUUUUCUAGAUUCUUGUCAUCAUUCAUGCAUAGAUAGGGUUUUACAAGUUUUCAUUAGUUUACAACCAUCUGAUAUGCAUUUGUACUCACAAUAUGCAACAACUAGCUCUCAAUCACCCUACAUGCAUGAAGCUCAAUAUACACAUAUGCUCAAGAAAUGACAUUUUAGACAUAAAAAAAAUCCGAGGAUUUCGGAAAGCAUCACCCACCUCGUAUAGUUGCUAAGGUGCUACGGUUCAAUUUUCGUGAUUUUUAGCUGCCUAUUCUCUCGCUUGCAGCAAAACAAAGCCAAAAUAGGCUUUUUUUCUCAAUUCCUAUGCGUAGACUCGUCGGAUCUUCGAACCGAGUCCACCAACACGUCAGAAAUACCUUCAAUUAGGUUUCUACAAGGUCAAUUUACAUUUAAUCCCAUCUAUGACAAAAUGCCCAAUUUUGGUGCCCUAACAAUGCCCUAUAGCAUAAGCACCAAAUAGAUCUUAAAGCUAAGCAAAAACAAGCUUAACAUCAUCUAGAAACUCAUCUAGAACUAUUCUUAGGGCUUUUAAACCAAACCCUAGAUAUCUACCAUGAGAGUUCAUGGAGCUUACCUCAAAAAGCUUCCUUUCCUUGAGCUAAGGGAGAAGAAUGAGAGAUAGCUUUGAAAGUUUUGAGGAGCCCAAGGAUCUAUCUAGAUUGUAUCUAUCACCUAGAAGGGGGGGUGAAUAGGUGUAACGGCCAAAAACCACAAAUCUUGAUGUAAUAAAAAUAAAUGCGGAAAAUAAAAAGCACACCGAGAUUUACGUGGAAAAACUCCAACUUGGAGAAAAACCCACGGGACCAACACGCGAAAAAAUAAUUCACUAAGAGAAAAGAUUACAAGGUGAUUACCGACUCCACUGACUUAACCUCUCUUAACCUCCUAUGAAUCUUCGCGCUACCCUCCGGGUUGUCCACGCCCUCACGUCCGAAUCCACGAACGCCUCCACUUCGAAUCCACGAAGCUUCAAUCACGCCGAAUCCACGACGCCACUCGAAUCCACGAGCCCACGAUCCGAAUCCACGAACCGCCGUCAAAUACGCCGAAUCCACGACGCCACCAUGAAGAAUAUCAUGAAUAUGGUGAUCCUUCGCUUUGGAGUAUCGUAGAAAACCAGGGAAUAGAACUCCAAGCGAAGCGGAGAUCAAAUCGACAUAUUAAUAUCAAAUUUCAAUAUCUCGAUUUGAUCUAAAAGAGGCUUUUUGUAGAAAAUAGGUUUUUGAUGAAAUCCGAGCCUCUAGGGUUUCUCAAAUAUGUAUUUUCGUGAUGCUUAAUCAGUUAGAGAACCCCUAUAGCUUAUUUAUAGACUUUAGAAUCAAAACAGAGUAGGAUUAGAAAGUUUCUUUCCAAAAUCAGCACCUUGUACCGGAACAAGGAAAGCUGUCCAGGGUACACCAUGACGGAAGAUUUUUCUGCGAAGCUCCUGUACCCUGGAUAGCUUCAGCUUGUUCCGGAACAGGGCUUGUACCGGUACAGCAUGAAGCUUGUACCGGAACAACCAUCAAACUUUCUGCGCAACGUUGAUGGCUGUACCCUGGACAGAAAACCCUUGUACCGGUACAGCAAUGCAAUUUUCGCUGAAAAUGCAUUGUUUCGGGUUUUACAAACUCUUAGAAACUUUCUAAUCAAUUACAACUUGAAAAUAUGAUUCUAAGAUCUAUAAAUAAGUAUGAAUCACCAUAAACAAGAUUUAAAACUUACCUACGCAUCGUGAUUCAAGUUUUGCGUGUUUUGCGUCCUUUCCGAUUCUUCGAAGUCUUGGAUUCUUCGAUCUUCAAUACUCCGCUCCGAACUUCUUCAAGACUCCGACUCGACCCACGAAACUUGCCAACACAUAGGACCUAACAAUCUCCCCCUUUGGCAAUUUCGUGACAAAACACACACAAACUCACAAAUUACAAUUUAAAGAAAAAACGAAGUUCAAUGUCAUCACCAAAACAUCGAACCCCUCGCGUGUAAUCCAAAUACAAUUUGAAACUCAAAAUUACAUCAAAACUCCUAAAACAGACUCUAUGACUUAGAUGCAAAUAGGAGUCUUGAAGUCUUGAUUUCCUGUAAAACACUUCAUUCAAAAAUGAUUAGCACUAAAUUCUUAUACCUUCUCCCCUUUUGUUCACAUCUCCCCCUUUGUUCUUGAACUUAUCAUCCUUUGCUUCAGUGUCAAAGCCUGCUCAUCCAUGCUCUCCCCCUUCAUCUACGCUCUCCCCUUUUUGUCAAAAAUUGCCAAAAGAAAGAAAAUAGAAAGAGAAAACAUACUAGAAAAACAUGAGAGUAGUCUAGUCAUAGUUACAGGCCAUAAAAGAAAAACUGAAACUAAAACAUCAUCCUAAAAUGCAAAUGCAGUGAAAGAGAAAGACUAAGCUCGACGAAGAAAUCACUCCGUGUCCUCAUCAUCAUCAUCAUCAUCUCCAGCACCAGCUCCAGAACCUCCAGCCUCAGGAGCAUCACCAGACGGUGGAAUGAGAGGAUGUCGUGAAGAUGACCGCUGAUACGAAGCAGAAGAUGGAGCAGGUUCCCAAAUAUCAUCAUGUCUACACCCCAUCUUAUCCAUUAAUCUUUUGAUACUUAACUCAAAUUUCUUGAUGCCGGACUCAACUUUCCUUCCAAUGUUGUUCACCUUCUUUUUUAACUUUCGUAAAUCUUUCUUAACUGAUUCCAGUGUCGUCGCUUCCCCUGAACUAGAUGAAGUAUCAUAACUUCCUCGAGAUGUAGGCGGAGGAGCAGAACUAGAAGCUGCUCUCGGUGGAGGUGCUGGACUAGAUGCUUCAGGAGGUGGCCCUUUGGUCUGAUGGAAUGACUUGAGAGUGCUAACCGACUUAGCCCAAGUCACUGAGUCAAUAGGCCCAAGGCCAACAUCAUACUUGUCACAAGAUGUAUCCACUCCAUUGGCUUGAAGAAUCCUCGUAAUCAGAACAGGGAAUGGUAGUAGAUCCCGUCGAGUAGCACCCUGAAUUACGUGAAUCAUCCUUUGCCAGAUCAGAAAUGGAAUGUUGAUGUUCAACCCACGAGCCUGCUCGGGAUGACCAAGUAGAUAUAGCAACACUAAUCUCUCCCAGCGGAUCCUCUUUGUGCCGAUAGUUGGUUGAACAUUGUAGCUCAUAACCAAGGAUAGCAAGUGAUACUCAGGUAAUAAGUCCUUGGAUUCAAUGUAACCAUGAGUCAUGUAAACACCGGCUUUGCAUAUAGCUCCAAGAACGAUAUCCAGGUGAGUUGAUGCUUGAAAUCCUCCUGAAGUAUAGAGAAGACCUGAAGUGUCCACAUGCAUCCCCAAGAUCUCUCCAAUAUCAUAGGGAGUAACUGGAAAUCUCCUCUGACGCACAACAGUCUCGAAGAUAAAAGUGCCUGUUUCAUCAUCUUCAGCAAGCACCUUUCCAUUCAUAUAGAACUCCCUAAUGAGUUCUACACAGAAAGGAGCCUUCGCAGGGACCCGUCCAACAGGCUCAAUAGGCGCGCGCUGUAGUAGUCGUCCAAAAUCAGGAACCUCCCGAAUCAGAUCAUGGAAGUUCACAAAGCGUUCAGCUAUGCACGACUUUGAUGCAAACAACCUUCGCCGUGCUGGAGGAACCUCUGCAGCUUGUUUUGAACGUCCCUCACGAGUACGAGAACCACCACCGUGAGAUGAUUCGCCAGCUAAACCUUUGCCUUUGUCAAGUUGCGCAAUAGGUUCUUCAGAUUCUUCAGAGGAGCUCUCCUGAUAAUCCGGAUCAGACCCGGACGCUUCUUCAGUGGUACGUGUCCUUUUAGAAACCCCAUGACGACCUCUACCACUACCACGGCUCCGUCUCCCAGCCAUGAGCACCAAAAGCACCAGUACGAGCAAAAAUGCCAUUUUCCUAUAUCAAAAAUUGCAUACAUGAACAUAAUUUCUGGAAAAAAUCUGUAAAAAUAGCGAAAAAAUUUCUAAUUACAUUAGAAUGCAUACAAAAGCUAUUUCUAACCAGAUCAUGCAAAAUAUUUCAGCAAAAAUCGAACUUUUUGAAAAAUCCCGAAAUUACAUGCACAUUAGAACAUAAAUUUUAGAUCAGCGAAAAAUAACUUGUUUUGAUGUUGUUCAAGUGUUCUACAAGCAAGGUAAUAGCCUAAGACACUGAUCUAUAGCAAAAAAUUGCAUCAAAAACGGAUUAGAACAGAGAUCAAACCCUUAUCCCGCAAAAACAGUGAAAAUAGCAAAAUCGGGAUAAAACUCACAAAUUUGAUGCUAAAAACUUACAAAUCCACAGGAAAAAUGUGUAGAACGAAUGAAGGAGAGUCUCUGGAGCUCACAGAACCAAAAAUUUUGGAAAACGAUUGAGUUUUGAGAAAGAUCGAAGCGUUAUACCCGGUUAUAUUUCGCUCGGCCGCAGACCUUGUACCGGUACACGGGUUCUUGUUCCGGUACAAGGACCAAAAUGUGAAAAAAAAAAUUUCCAAAAAUAUACUUUAAAAAUCUAUCACAUUUAAAUUAAAUUCAUAUAGUUAAGGCUUUUACUCCAAAAAUCAUUGUAAUGAAAAUAAGAUAUUAUAAAAUUUCAAAACACAUCAAAACAUCAAAAUUUCAAAAUCAAAAAUAAUUUAAUGAUUCAAAAACAUCAAGAUGUAAGUUGAUGAAAAAUGAUUUUUAGAAAUUCAACAAAAUUGACACCAAUUUGUCGCAAUACAUUCAAAAUAGAGAUUUAACUAAUAUGGCACCGGGGGUGGCUCUUUGAGCAUCUUUUUCAAACUAGCACCUUAUUACUCCGAAAAUUCUAAAAUAUUUAUAUUUUUCCAACCUUUUUCGGCUUUUUCAAUUAAAUACCAUGUGGUAGCUUCACACACUUGCCGGACGACCGGGGUGGUAGCUCUUUCCUACAUGUGGUGGUAGUUUUCACACUCCUUUUGGAUGUAACUCUUUCCACAUCUUUUUAAACUUAGGAGUUUCUUUUUCUCCUUUUUUUUUUUUUAAACAAUUUCAAACUCCCCCUAAAUUAGACAAUCUCACAAUUGAAAAUAAUUUUGACGAAUUUUAGUCAAUUAGAGAAUAUCCAUUCAUCAUAUCCAACACUCACAACCAAGAUGAAUUAAUCACCAAAAAAUCAAAUUUGAUUUCAAAAUUUUGAUGAAUUUAUGCAAUAAGAAAUCAUAUAAUAAAUUAUCGUCAAAAUAAUAAAUAGUGGAGUAAAGACGAUAAUUAAUAUGAAUUUAACUUAAUAUGAUUGUGAAGAUAAAACCCGUUUAAACAAUCUUUAAAAAAUUUCUCUCCAAAAAACGAUUCUCAAUCAUCUCCUUUCUCAAAGAUUUUGAAAUUCCCAAACACCUCUUCCUCAAAAUGAUUUUUAAAUAAACAAAAAUUCAAUGCACCAAAAAUCAUUCAACCAUGUAAUGCAAUGAAUAAAAAUAAACAACAAGCACCAAUCAAAGCAUUACACUAAAAAUCAAAAAUGACUAAGACGAGGAGCAAGGAAAGAUAUCACCUUUCCGGAUCCAAACUUGUCGGAUCGUUGGUUUUCUCGACUUGUCGACGUUAGGUGCCGUUUGUUUAGACUUUUGAUCAACCGUUGAUGUUUUCUUCGGUUGAGGCUUAGGUUGUAUUUGUCGUUGAGGUUUAUGCACCCGGUUUGCAUGAACUUGGCGUUGAGCAUUAGAA